AGAGUUUGAUCAUGGCUCAGAUUGAACGCUGGCGGCAGGCCUAACACAUGCAAGUCGAGCGGUAGCACAGAGAGCUUGCUCUCGGGUGACGAGCGGCGGACGGGUGAGUAAUGUCUGGGAAACUGCCUGAUGGAGGGGGAUAACUACUGGAAACGGUAGCUAAUACCGCAUAACGUCGCAAGACCAAAGUGGGGGACCUUCGGGCCUCAUGCCAUCAGAUGUGCCCAGAUGGGAUUAGCUAGUAGGUGGGGUAACGGCUCACCUAGGCGACGAUCCCUAGCUGGUCUGAGAGGAUGACCAGCCACACUGGAACUGAGACACGGUCCAGACUCCUACGGGAGGCAGCAGUGGGGAAUAUUGCACAAUGGGCGCAAGCCUGAUGCAGCCAUGCCGCGUGUAUGAAGAAGGCCUUCGGGUUGUAAAGUACUUUCAGCGGGGAGGAAGGCGAUAAGGUUAAUAACCUUGUCGAUUGACGUUACCCGCAGAAGAAGCACCGGCUAACUCCGUGCCAGCAGCCGCGGUAAUACGGAGGGUGCAAGCGUUAAUCGGAAUUACUGGGCGUAAAGCGCACGCAGGCGGUCUGUCAAGUCGGAUGUGAAAUCCCCGGGCUCAACCUGGGAACUGCAUUCGAAACUGGCAGGCUAGAGUCUUGUAGAGGGGGGUAGAAUUCCAGGUGUAGCGGUGAAAUGCGUAGAGAUCUGGAGGAAUACCGGUGGCGAAGGCGGCCCCCUGGACAAAGACUGACGCUCAGGUGCGAAAGCGUGGGGAGCAAACAGGAUUAGAUACCCUGGUAGUCCACGCCGUAAACGAUGUCGAUUUGGAGGUUGUGCCCUUGAGGCGUGGCUUCCGGAGCUAACGCGUUAAAUCGACCGCCUGGGGAGUACGGCCGCAAGGUUAAAACUCAAAUGAAUUGACGGGGGCCCGCACAAGCGGUGGAGCAUGUGGUUUAAUUCGAUGCAACGCGAAGAACCUUACCUGGUCUUGACAUCCACAGAACUUAGCAGAGAUGCUUUGGUGCCUUCGGGAACUGUGAGACAGGUGCUGCAUGGCUGUCGUCAGCUCGUGUUGUGAAAUGUUGGGUUAAGUCCCGCAACGAGCGCAACCCUUAUCCUUUGUUGCCAGCGGUUAGGCCGGGAACUCAAAGGAGACUGCCAGUGAUAAACUGGAGGAAGGUGGGGAUGACGUCAAGUCAUCAUGGCCCUUACGACCAGGGCUACACACGUGCUACAAUGGCAUAUACAAAGAGAAGCGACCUCGCGAGAGCAAGCGGACCUCAUAAAGUAUGUCGUAGUCCGGAUUGGAGUCUGCAACUCGACUCCAUGAAGUCGGAAUCGCUAGUAAUCGUAGAUCAGAAUGCUACGGUGAAUACGUUCCCGGGCCUUGUACACACCGCCCGUCACACCAUGGGAGUGGGUUGCAAAAGAAGUAGGUAGCUUAACCUUCGGGAGGGCGCUUACCACUUUGUGAUUCAUGACUGGGGUGAAGUCGUAACAAGGUAACCGUAGGGGAACCUGCGGUUGGAUCACCU
RNAcentral lists this ribosomal RNA (1528 nucleotides) under Klebsiella pneumoniae. RNAcentral's name for it is "bacterial SSU rRNA". It matches the Rfam family "Bacterial small subunit ribosomal RNA". Lineage: Bacteria; Pseudomonadati; Pseudomonadota; Gammaproteobacteria; Enterobacterales; Enterobacteriaceae. RNAcentral also lists the same sequence under 1 other name. The record is from RNAcentral.